RNAcentral lists this ribosomal RNA (2869 nucleotides) under Escherichia coli. Its description in RNAcentral is "bacterial LSU rRNA". It matches the Rfam family "Bacterial large subunit ribosomal RNA". Lineage: Bacteria; Pseudomonadati; Pseudomonadota; Gammaproteobacteria; Enterobacterales; Enterobacteriaceae. The record is from RNAcentral.
UUAAGCGACUAAGCGUACACGGUGGAUGCCCUGGCAGUCAGAGGCGAUGAAGGACGUGCUAAUCUGCGAUAAGCGUCGGUAAGGUGAUAUGAACCGUUAUAACCGGCGAUUUCCGAAUGGGGAAACCCAGUGUGUUUCGACACACUAUCAUUAACUGAAUCCAUAGGUUAAUGAGGCGAACCGGGGAACUGAAACAUCUAAGUACCCCGAGGAAAGAAAUCAACCGAGAUUCCCCAGUAGCGGCGAGCGAACGGGAGCAGCCCAGAGCCUGAAUCAGUGUGUGUGUUAGUGGAAGCGUCUGGAAAGGCGCGCGAUACAGGUGACAGCCCCGUACACAAAAAUGCAUGCUGUGAGCUCGAUGAGUAGGGCGGACACGUGGUAUCCUGUCUGAAUAUGGGGACCAUCCUCCAAGGCUAAAUACUCUGACUGACCGAUAGUGAACCAGUACCGUGAGGGAAAGGCGAAAAGAACCCCGGCGAGGGUGAAAAGAACCUGAAACCGUGUACGUACAAGCAGUGGGAGCACGCUUAGGCGUGUGACUGCGUACCUUUGUAUAAUGGGUCAGCGACUUAUAUUCUGUAGCAAGGUUAACCGAAUAGGGAGCCGAAGGAAACCGAGUCUUAACUGGGCGUUAAGUUGCAGGGUAUAGACCCGAAACCCGGUGAUCAGCCAUGGGCAGGUUGAAGGUUGGGUAACACUAACUGGAGGACCGAACCGACUAAUGUUGAAAAAUUAGCGGAUGACUUGUGGCUGGGGGUGAAAGGCCAAUCAAACCGGGAGAUAGCUGGUUCUCCCCGAAAGCUAUUUAGGUAGCGCCUCGUGAAUUCAUCUCCGGGGUAGAGCACUGUUUCGGCAAGGGGUCAUCCGACUUACCAACCCGAUGCAAACUGCGAAUACCGGAGAAUGUUAUCACGGAGACACACGGCGGUGCUAACGUCCGUCGUGAAGAGGGAAACAACCCAGACCGCCAGCUAAGGUCCCAAAGUCAUGGUUAAGUGGGAAACGAUGUGGGAAGGCCCAGACAGCCAGGAUGUUGGCUUAGAAGCAGCCAUCAUUUAAAGAAAGCGUAAUAGCUCACUGGUCGAGUCGGCCUGCGCGGAAGAUGUAACGGGGCUAAACCAUGCACCGAAGCUGCGGCAGCGACGCUGAUGCGUUGUUGGGUAGGAGCGUUCUGUAAGCCUGCGAAGGUGUGCUGUGAGGCAUGCUGGAGGUAUCAGAAGUGCGAAUGCUGACAUAAGUAACGAUAAAGCGGGUGAAAAGCCCGCUCGCCGGAAGACCAAGGGUUCCUGUCCAACGUUAAUCGGGGCAGGGUGAGUCGACCCCUAAGGCGAGGCCGAAAGGCGUAGUCGAUGGGAAACAGGUUAAUAUUCCUGUACUUGGUGUUACUGCGAAGGGGGGACGGAGAAGGCUAUGUUGGCCGGGCGACGGUUGUCCCGGUUUAAGCGUGUAGGCUGGUUUUCCAGGCAAAUCCGGAAAAUCAAGGCUGAGGCGUGAUGACGAGGCACUACGGUGCUGAAGCAACAAAUGCCCUGCUUCCAGGAAAAGCCUCUAAGCAUCAGGUAACAUCAAAUCGUACCCCAAACCGACACAGGUGGUCAGGUAGAGAAUACCAAGGCGCUUGAGAGAACUCGGGUGAAGGAACUAGGCAAAAUGGUGCCGUAACUUCGGGAGAAGGCACGCUGAUAUGUAGGUGAGGUCCCUCGCGGAUGGAGCUGAAAUCAGUCGAAGAUACCAGCUGGCUGCAACUGUUUAUUAAAAACACAGCACUGUGCAAACACGAAAGUGGACGUAUACGGUGUGACGCCUGCCCGGUGCCGGAAGGUUAAUUGAUGGGGUUAGCGCAAGCGAAGCUCUUGAUCGAAGCCCCGGUAAACGGCGGCCGUAACUAUAACGGUCCUAAGGUAGCGAAAUUCCUUGUCGGGUAAGUUCCGACCUGCACGAAUGGCGUAAUGAUGGCCAGGCUGUCUCCACCCGAGACUCAGUGAAAUUGAACUCGCUGUGAAGAUGCAGUGUACCCGCGGCAAGACGGAAAGACCCGUGAACCUUUACUAUAGCUUGACACUGAACAUUGAGCCUUGAUGUAGGAUAGGUGGGAGGCUUUGAAGUGUGGACGCCAGUCUGCAUGGAGCCGACGAAAUACCACCCUUUAAUGUUUGAUGUUCUAACGUUGACCCGUAAUCCGGGUUGCGGACAGUGUCUGGUGGGUAGUUUGACUGGGGCGGUCUCCUCCUAAAGAGUAACGGAGGAGCACGAAGGUUGGCUAAUCCUGGUCGGACAUCAGGAGGUUAGUGCAAUGGCAUAAGCCAGCUUGACUGCGAGCGUGACGGCGCGAGCAGGUGCGAAAGCAGGUCAUAGUGAUCCGGUGGUUCUGAAUGGAAGGGCCAUCGCUCAACGGAUAAAAGGUACUCCGGGGAUAACAGGCUGAUACCGCCCAAGAGUUCAUAUCGACGGCGGUGUUUGGCACCUCGAUGUCGGCUCAUCACAUCCUGGGGCUGAAGUAGGUCCCAAGGGUAUGGCUGUUCGCCAUUUAAAGUGGUACGCGAGCUGGGUUUAGAACGUCGUGAGACAGUUCGGUCCCUAUCUGCCGUGGGCGCUGGAGAACUGAGGGGGGCUGCUCCUAGUACGAGAGGACCGGAGUGGACGCAUCACUGGUGUUCGGGUUGUCAUGCCAAUGGCACUGCCCGGUAGCUAAAUGCGGAAGAGAUAAGUGCUGAAAGCAUCUAAGCACGAAACUUGCCCCGAGAUGAGUUCUCCCUGACUCCUUGAGAGUCCUGAAGGAACGUUGAAGACGACGACGUUGAUAGGCCGGGUGUGUAAGCGCAGCGAUGCGUUGAGCUAACCGGUACUAAUGAACCGUGAGGCUUAACCU